This is a non-coding RNA of Xyrichtys novacula (pearly razorfish), 4604 nucleotides long. Lineage: Eukaryota; Metazoa; Chordata; Actinopteri; Labriformes; Labridae. The record is from the annotation of a GenBank genome assembly.
UUGGAAUUUCGCUAACUCCUCCAAAGGCUUUCGUUCCACCGGCACCACAUUUGCUCAGGCCAAUCUACACCCCAUGGCCAUUAAAAGUUAUUCAAAUCAUGACGCUGCACCCCACGGUUUAGGUUCUAGGGGGCGCCAAAGAUAACCCUAAGAUCCACAUAUUUAAAAGUCUUAUAACUUUUUAUUUUUGCCCUCACUGGCCUCCAAGUUUUCUAGGAUGAUGCAAUGUCCAGCCAUCAACACAUUUGUGAAGGAAUUUUUACUCGGCAAAAGAGCGCCCCCCAUGGCAGGAGAAAAAAGUCAAUUUUUUCUUGUCCACUAAGGUGAAAAUACACAUUGUUGAGUGCUACGCCUGUAUGUUUUGUCGUAUUGACACAAAAUUUUACAUACACGUGUAUUUCAAUAAGAUCUUCGAAAAAGUCAAUGGCCACGUAUCUGUAAAAUGUACGGUUAAAGGGUUAUUUCGCAUUUUUUGCAGAUUCGCACACAUUGGAAUUUCGCUAAUUCCUCCGAAGGCUUUCGUUCCACCGGCACCACAUUUGCUCAGGCCAAUCUACACCCCAUGGCCAUUAAAAGUUAUUCAAAUCAUGACGCUGCACCCCACGGUUUAGGUUCUAGGGGGCGCCAAAUAUAACCCUAAAAUCCACAUAUUUAAAAGUCUUAUAACUUUUUAUUUUUGUCCUCACUGGCCUCCAUGUUUUCUAGGAUGAUGCAAUGUCCAGCCAUCAACACAUUUGUGAAGGAGUUUUUCUCUUUAAAAGAGCGCCCCCCCAUGGCAGGAGAAUAAAGUCAAGUUUUUCCUGUUCAUCAUUCAAUGGCUCAAACGCACUGCUCUCUCGGCAAAAGCGAAAGGAGGAGCAACUUGCCAUUUGGAUAUAUCUUAGCUGUGUUUGUGCCCUCACUCAUGGUCCAGACUUUUUUCAAAUAGGACAUGGAGUUUUUCUGCAGCGAGCGUUUUGGUAGAAACUGCGCCUCCCGUUCAUUAUAAUGGUAAAUGACCACAAACAAGUGCGCACACCAUCUUUGGACCUUGAGUGUGACGCGAUCGGGUGGGGGAGGCGGUCGCGCUGGGGGCGGCGUGACACGGCUCGGGCCCGCCAGUGCCCCAACGGGGCCCUAGUUAUUAUUAUUAUUUUUCCUCCGCUUUAAACUGGAAAAAAACUCACUUCCCACUGGCGAAAACUCAUGAAAUUUGGCAGGACGACCGGGCCUGGUGAAAAAUUCGAUAUUCUGAAGUCGCCCAAACAAUAAAAUGCAAAAUGGCUCCAUAGCGCCCCCAAAGGUGAAAAUUCACACCAUUGACUGUCACGCCUGUACGCUUUGUCAUAUUGACACAAAAAUUGACACACAUAUGUAUCUCAAUAAGAUCUACAAAAAAGUCAGUGCAGGCGUAUCUGUCAAAUGUACGGUUAAAGGGUUAUUUCGCAUUUUUUGCCGAUCCGCACACAUUGGAAUUUCGCUAACUCCUCCAAAGGCUUUCGUUCCACCAGCACCACAUUUGCUCAGGCCAAUCUACACCCCAUGGCCAUUAAAAGUUGUACAAAUCAUGACGCUGCACCCCACGGUUUUGGUUCUAGGGGGCGCCAAAGAUAACCCUAAAAUCCACAUAUUUCAAAGUCUUAUAACUUUUUAUUUUUGUCCUCACUGGCCUCCAAGUUUUCUAGGAUGAUGCAAUGUCCAGCCAUCAACACAUUUGUGAAGGAAUUUUUACUCCCCAAAAGAGCGCCCCCCCAUGGCAGGAGAAAAAAGUCCAUUUUUUCUUGUCCCCUAAGGCGAAAAUACACAUUGUUGAAUGUCACGCCUAUACGAUUUGUCAUAUUGACACAAAAUUUGACAUUCACGUGUAUCUCAAUAAGAUCUACGAAAAAGUCAAUGCGCGCGUAUCUGUAAAAUUUACGGUUAAAGGGCUAUUUCGCAUUUUUUGCCGAUUCGUACACAUUGGAAUGUGGCUAACUCCUCCUAAGGCUUUCGUCCCACUGACACCAAAUUUGCUCAGGCCAAUCUACACCCCAUGGCCAUUCAAAGUUGUAAAAAUCAUGACGCUGCACCCCACGGUAUACGUUCUAGGGGGCGCCAAAGAGGACCCAAAUAUCCACAUUUUAAAAAGUCUUAUAACUUUUUAUUUUUGUCCUCACUGGCCUCCAAGUUUUCUAGGAUGAUGCAAUGUCCAGCCAUCAACACAUUUGUGAAGGAAUUUUUUCUCCCCAAAAGAGCGCCCCCCCAUGGCAGGAGAAAAAGUGAAGUUUUUCCUGCCCAUCCAUAUGGCUCAAACGCAUCGCUCUCUCGGCAAAACCGAAAGGAGGAGCAACUUGCCAUUUGGAUAUAUACUAGCUGUGUUUGUGCCCUCACUCAUGGACCAGAAUUUUUUCAAAAAGGACCUGCAGCGAGCGUUUUGGUAGAAACUGCGCCUCCCAUUCAUUAUAAUCGUAAAUGACCACAGACAAGUGCACACACCAUCCUUGGACCUUGAGUGUGACGCGAUCGGGAGGGGUAGGCGGUCGCGCUGGGGGUGGCGCGACACGGCUCGGGCCCGCCAGUGCCCCACUGGGGCCCUAGUUUCUUCUUUUUCCUCCCCUUUGAACUGGAAAAUGGCCCACUUCCCACUGGCGAAAACUCAUGAAAUUUGGCAGGACGACCGGGCCUGGUGAAAAAUUCGAUAUUCUGAAGUCGCCCAGACAAUAAAAUGCAAAAUGGCUCCAUAGCGCCCCCUAAGGUGGAAAUUCACACUAUUGACUGUCACGCCUGUACGCUUUGUCAUAUUGACACAAAAAUUGACACACAUAUGUAUCUCAAUAAGAUCUACAAAAAAGUCAGUGCGGCCGUAUCUGUCAAAUGUACGGUUAAAGGGUUAUUUCGCAUUUUUUUCCGAUCCGCACACAUUGGAAUUUCGCUAACUCCUCCGAAGGCUUUCGUUCCACCGGCACCACAUUUGCUCAGGCCAAUCUACACCCCGUGGCCAUUAAAAGUUAUCAAAAUCAUGACGCUGCACCCCAAGGUUUAGGUUCUAGGGGGCGCCAAAGAUAACACUAAAAUCCACAUAUUUAAAAGUCUUAUAACUUUUUAUUUUUGUCCUCACUGGCCUCCAAGUUUUCUAGGAUGAUGCAAUGUCCAGCCAUCAACACAUUUGUGAAGGAAUUUUUACUCCCCAAAAGAGCGCCCCCCCAUGGCAGGAGAAAAAAGUCCAUUUUUUCUUGUCCCCUAAGGUGAAAAUACACAUUGUUGAGUGUCACGCCUAUACGCUUUGUCAAAAUGACACAAAAAUUGACACACACAUGUAACUCAAUAAGAUCUACGAAAAAGUCAAUGCGCGCGUAUCUGUCAAAUGUACGGUUAAAGGGUUAUUCCGCAUUUUUUGCCGAUCCGCACACAUUGGAAUUUCGCUAACUCCUCCGAAGGCUUUCUGUCCACCGGCACCACAUUUGCUCAGGCCAAUCUACACCCCAUGGCCAUUAAAAUUUAUUCAAAUCAUGACGCUGCACCCCACGGUUUAGGUUCUAGGGGGCGCCAAAGACAACCCUAAAAUCCACAUUUUUAAAAGUCUUAUAACUUUUUAUUUUUGUCCUCACUGGCCUCCAAGUUUUCUAGGGUGAUGCAAUGUCCAGCCAUCAACACAUUUGUGAAGGAAUUUUUACUCCCCAAAAGAGCGCCCCCCCAUGGCAGCAGAAAAAAGUCCAUUUUUUCUUGUCCCCUAAGGUGAAAAUACAUAUUGUUGAGAUUCAUGCCUAUACGCUUUGUCAUAUUGACACAAAAUUUGACAAUCACGUGCCUUGCCUGGUAUCAUUUUUUUUCAGCACAACCUCACCUGUGCGAAUUUACAGUUAUUUUAUCAUGUUGACAUACUGAAUUUACACAAUGGACCCAAAUUCACACACAAAACAUAAAAUCCGAGUGGAAAAAAGUAAAAUUUUUACUGUGAAAACCACAAAUAUGUGUGAUGAACUGUUUUUAAAACUUAAACUUCAAAUAAAAAUUGUAAACUUCAAAACAUAUGCAAAUUUUUAACAAAGAACAUAGUGAUUUACCUCUAUUUACAUCAAAAUGCAGGCAAUGGCCCAGGCGUUCUUUGUAAAAUUAUUUACAAAACACUGUAUAGUCUCACAAAUGUCAAUUUUUAUUUAUGCCACUACAAAAAAACAUGAUGUAAAUGAUGCAUGAUGUAAAACAUGAUGUAAAAAACUUGUGUAGAUCCUCCUCUAUGUCAGUCCAUGUGUAAUUUUUCCAUAAUUCUUUGUUUUUUGCAGCAUUUUUGUUAGUGUAACUGCAGAUUGUGCUGACAGUGUCUAUGGCACAAAAAAAAAAAAAAAUUAAAAUGCCUCAACAUGAACCCCUGGUGGUCUCUGAGGGUGAAACCUGCUAACUGCUGCAGCUCUGUCAGCUUCAGUCUCCCAUGCAGAGCUCUGAGCGCAUGUGUGGCUCUGCACCCUUAGCAGCGUUGCUAACUCCUCAGUAAGGAAAGCCUGCUUCAUGUCAGAGUCUCUAAACUCCAGAAGAAGUCGAUAAAAGUCCCUUUCUUUCUAAAAAAAAGUCGUUAGGGGGUCUGAAAAGUCAUUGAAUCUAACAACAAAGUCGCUAGGUUUGCAACUACGUGUCCCAGACUGCAUCCC